UAGAGUUUGAUCCUGGCUGAGAUUGAACGCUGGCGGCGUGCUUUACACAUGCAAGUCGAACGGCAGCAUUGGAUGCUUGCAUCCAGAUGGCGAGUGGCGGACGGGUGAGUAAUACAUCGGAACGUACUAUUAAGUGGAGGAUAACCCAUCGAAAGAUGGGCUAAUACUGCAUACGCUCUUAGGAGCAAAGCUGGGGAUCUAGCAAUAGACCUGGCGCUUGAUAAGCGGCCGAUGCUCGAUUAGCUUGUUGGUGAGGUAAUAGCUCACCAAGGCGAAGAUCGAUAGCUGUUCUGAGAGGAAGACCAGCCACACUGGGACUGAGACACGGCCCAGACUCCUACGGGAGGCAGCAGUGGGGAAUUUUGGACAAUGGGGGAAACCCUGAUCCAGCAACGCCGCGUGAAUGAAGAAGGCCUUCGGGUUGUAAAGUUCUUUUAGCUAGGAGCAAAAGCUAAGCGCUAAUAUCGCUAUAGUGUUGAGAGUACUAGCAGAAUAAGCACCGGCUAACUACGUGCCAGCAGCCGCGGUAAUACGUAGGGUGCAAGCGUUAAUCGGAAUUACUGGGCGUAAAGAGUGCGUAGGCGGUAAGUUAAGUUAGCUGUGAAAUACCUAGGCUUAACCUGGGAAUGGCAGUUAAAACUGGCUUACUCGAGUUAUUUAGAGGGGGGUAGAAUUCCAAGUGUAGCAGUGAAAUGCGUAGAUAUUUGGAGGAAUACCAAUGGCGUAGGCAGCCCCCUGGGAAUUAACUGACGCUGAGGCACGAAAGCGUGGGGAGCAAACAGGAUUAGAUACCCUGGUAGUCCACGCCCUAAACGAUGUCUACUUGCUGUUGGAAGCAAUUUCAGUAGCGUAGCUAACGCGUGAAGUAGACCGCCUGGGAAGUACGGUCGCAAGAUUAAAACUCAAAGGAAUUGACGGGGACCCGCACAAGCGGUGGAUGAUGUGGAUUAAUUCGAUGCAACGCGAAAAACCUUACCUGCUCUUGACAUGCUAGGAAGGUCUUAGAGAUAAGACUGUGCCGCAAGGAACCUAGACACAGGUGCUGCAUGGCUGUCGUCAGUUCGUGUCGUGAGAUGUUGUCUUAAGUGACGCAACGAGCGCAACCCUUAUCACUAAUUGCCCUAAUUAAGUUUGGCACUUUAGUGAGACUGCCGGCAACUUGCCGGAGGAAGGUGGGGAUGACGUCAAGUCCUCAUGGCCCUUAUGAGCAGGGCUUCACACGUCAUACAAUGGUAGGUACAAACAGUUGCCAACCCGCGAGGGGGAGCUAAUCUGAGAAAGCCUAUCGUA
RNAcentral lists this ribosomal RNA (1290 nucleotides) under uncultured beta proteobacterium. RNAcentral describes it as "bacterial SSU rRNA". It matches the Rfam family "Bacterial small subunit ribosomal RNA", at positions 1 to 1290 of the family's 1533-position model. Lineage: Bacteria; Pseudomonadati; Pseudomonadota; Betaproteobacteria. The record is from RNAcentral.